Molecule: ribosomal RNA, 414 nt
Filed under: uncultured archaeon
Lineage: Archaea
Description: bacterial SSU rRNA
Rfam family: Archaeal small subunit ribosomal RNA
Source: RNAcentral
CGAGUUUAGGGGCUCCUUCGGGAGCACCGGCGGACUGCUCAGUAACACGUGGACAACCUACCCUCGGGUGGGGGAUAACCUCGGGAAACUGAGGCUAAUACCCCAUAGGCCUCGGAUACUGGAAGGUUCCGAGACCGAAAGCUCCGGCGCCCGAGGAUGGGUCUGCGGCCUAUCAGGUAGUUGGUGGUGUAAAGGACCACCAAGCCUACGACGGGUACGGGCCCUGAGAGGGGGAGCCCGGAGAUGGACUCUGAGACACGAGUCCAGGCCCUACGGGGCGCAGCAGGCGCGAAACCUUCGCAAUGCGCGAAAGCGCGACGAGGGGAGCCCGAGUGCCCUUCCUUUCGGGAGGGCUUUUCUGGAGCCUAAAAAGCUCCAGGAAUAAGGGCUGGGCAAGACGGGUGCCAGCCGCCG